Molecule: long non-coding RNA, 746 nt
Filed under: Trifolium pratense (red clover)
Lineage: Eukaryota; Viridiplantae; Streptophyta; Magnoliopsida; Fabales; Fabaceae
Description: long non-coding RNA (TPRA_LNC013122)
Source: RNAcentral
GAAGUCAUAUUACCUCUAGAAUCAUUAUAUUGUGAUCGCAGUUAAUGAUAGCAUUUACUACUUCAGAAAGAACUACGGUCAGAACAAUAAUAGCAAGAAUGUUCAAUGUAGUGGAUAAUAAGGAUAUACCAGAAUGUGAAGUAAUUGAUGUCAUUGCAAAGUUCCUAAGCCUUGUAAUCUCUGUAAUAGUAGUUGCCUUCAACUUUUCAGGAAACGCGUCUCUUCGAAGCUUUUGAACAUCAUCAUUUUCAAUGCAACACAAAGCAUUUUCACAUGCCUAUUUGCCAAACAGUAAUUAAGCAACAAAAACAAAAGAAACUGAAAUUUCAAUUUCAAUUUUCAAACUAAUUAAAAGUAUCAAAGACUACAUAAGUUUACAUCACAAUUUUUUUUUUUAAACACACAUGCAUUCAAUUUAGAUAAUUUCUCUUCCUACCCCCGCCAUUCUUUUAUACCCCCUAAAAUCUCAUUUUGCCCUUCUUAAUUUGAAAAAAUUUGAACAUAAAAUUUCGGUUUUUAUGAACCGAAAAAAUUGGAACACAAAAUUUUUCAGUUUUUACUAACCGAAUAAAUUGGAACGCAAAAUUGGAACAACAAAUUCAUCAGAAACAGAAACCAAAACUUCUCAAACACAAAACAACAAAUUCUCUCAUUGAAGAAGAAGAUACAGAAGAAGGUUUCAGCAUCAAAAGCUCUGCCCCAUCACACACUCACGGUGUUCAACCCUUAGGAAAUCGCUAUCUUUU